Molecule: long non-coding RNA, 4015 nt
Organism: Triticum dicoccoides
Lineage: Eukaryota; Viridiplantae; Streptophyta; Magnoliopsida; Poales; Poaceae
Exons: 2
Source: RefSeq, a predicted model, not a curated record
CCCUUCCCUUCCCCAUGCUGACCUAAAACCCGCGUCUCCCCCGCGACCGUCUCUUCCUCUCCUGCCGCCGCCGCCGCGCCCCCCUUCUCGCCUUCCCCAUGCUCGCAACCACGACCAUGUCGCUACCGACGCCGCGUCCACCGCUCCCCCGCCUCGAACCAGCCGCCGCCAUGGAGCCUCCGCUCCCCCGCCUCAUCCCUCCGCCCAUGCUCUCGCACCUCGCGUGCGGCCGCCGCCUUUUGUCCACAACCCUCCCUUCUCGGUCUGCUCGGCCACCAAGCGGCGGCGGAGCGGGUUGAUAGAGAUGGCGAGGGUGAGUCCAUGGCCAGAUGAGGGAGGAAGACAAAUGACGGGUGGAUCGGGUGCUCGAGGAGAGGAGGAAUUCGCCCCUGGGCCCAUGCCGCCGGCCUCCUCGUGCUGCUCGCAUCUCCCUCAUCGUCCCCGUCACCAUCUACCACUCCUCUCCCGUGCCCAGACCGCGGGAAGAAGCCGAGAAGGGAGGCCGGCCGGCGGCGGCCACGCUCGACAAGAUCCUCGCAUUGGCGUCAAGGGAGAGGAGGUCUACGUCCCCCGCCUGUGUGCUUCUUCUCGGGACGCCGAUGCCACGGAGCUCGUCAAGAUUUUGCAGGGAUGUAUAUAUAUGGUGAUGUUUCACUGGGAUCCUCAAAUGUUUCAGUUCGUACUUAGCAGGAUCACCUUGAGCAACGACUCAAUUAAUAUUCUCACUGAUCCAGUUUACUGAAGAACUUGUGACCCAGUUCCAGGACUCCUAUGGACUAAGGUACUCUAGCUGCUUGCAUCUUUCAGAGGAUCUAAUUAGAACCAAUUCAAUGUGUGGUUUAUCUUCUUAGAACUAUUAGUAUUCACUCAAGCAGGAGCUGGCUUCAGUUGGAAUAAGUGUGCUAGAAAGUGUGGCCAAUAGAUUGUACGUCGGCAAAAAAUUGGUCCAUUGUGAACUAAAGGAAUGUUGUAUAGGUUGUUACAAAUCUACAAUAACCAGCUUAGCGAUUCACUAAUGACUUAUGGAAGCACACCCGAUGCCAGAGACCAGAAGAAAUUAUCAUUUUCAGAUUGGUAGUAGUCCCCCCUGAGAUUAUUGUGUGCAUUUCCAAUUGGUAGUGGUCAUUGCUUUUAAGCAGAGUAUUGUUCUGUCGAAAUUGGUGAUCUAAGCUACAAACUAAUUCUCGUGCUCGACAGCGACUCUAAUUUACUUUGGAACCCUGGUUUUUGUGUCUUGAUUUUAGGGAUGGGGUUAUGCCAAUUUAACCAGGUUCUGAACAUUCAGGUAGCUCAGACCAUGGAGGUAAACAUAAAAGGUAUUUGAUUUAUCAUGAUCCAGUUACAGGAAUGCAUGGAUUUUUUUGGCAAGCAUUAUAUAUCGUUGAAGAUUUGCCAUUUUUUCAAGUUCCUUGUAUGCUAAUCGGUAACCUUUAGUUUUGGAUGUAUAAUAAGUACCUCCUGCUGAGCAAAGUGUGUGAUAUUCCAGAGUAUCUUUUUCAUGUAUAAUAAGUACUACCUUCCAGCUAAGUGAAGAUGCAUCUUUUUCAGCAUGUGCAAACUAAUUUUUGGUUAUAUCUAUUUCGACGAUGUGUUUGUAUAUCUGACAGAAGUAGCUCUUUUUUGUUUAUGAAUAUGAGCUGGACCAUCCAAAAACACUUCGUUCAAAUGCAGAGAUGUUGGAUGUAGUAUCUGAUUAUCUGUUCUCCAUUUUUGCAUCCUGUAUGCAUCUCACAUUCUUUUUAUUUUUAGUGUGAUAAAAAUAUUCUUUUUUGAACAUGCUAUCACUUUGUCAUAUCAUGGAGAAACUUCUCUCUUUCUCUUAUUUGGAUACAAUGUGUUCCCUAUGGAGAAAACAUGGUGUUUUGGUCUGUUACAUCUUAUUUUUCAGGUGCCCCCAGCUAUCAGGUUUGUAUUGGAUAGAGUAAUACCACCUUAUUUACUGGCAAAGGGUCUGAUUUUACAUGUAAGCCUACAAAAUAUCCUUGGUGAUGCUAAAAUUUAUCUUUUUGUUAGGAUUUUCUCAUUGUAACUGAAAAGUCUGAUCCUUGGUCAUAUCUGUUUAGAGAUUAUUGAUGAGAUAUAUGUUGGACAGUUUCGUGCCUGCUGAUGAAACCUAAUUUAAGUAUCUUGAGGUAUUGAACUACCAUUUGAAUGUUAAUAGCAGGACUGAGGCAGUAUGUUCUAUUUCCUUUUUAGAAGUAAAAUAUCCAAGGACUCUGGAUGAAAAACAAUUACAAUCCUUAUCCACAAAUAUUUUUAUAUCAUGGUAAUUCCAACAUCAUCUGUCACCCUCUGGACUGCAGGGCGAGAUAUCGAUCAAAUAUGAACCUGUCUAUCUGCUCAGACCAGGUGAUUAGUCUCUCCUUGCUAUUUUUCUUGAGGUGUGUGCAUCUAUCUGGACAAUUUAAUGAAAAUAUAUUGCUCAUACAAACCAUCACUACAUGUUAGUUCACUUUAACCCUAAUCAGUCAAAAGGUUAUCCCUUUUGCAUUUCAUGGACAUAAAGGUUUGGUGUUGACUGUCGAUCUUUUGUUAACAUGGGACCUUAAUACCGUAGGGAGUGUUUUUUUAUAUGUUCGGCACAACUGUAUAUUCCUCUGUUCCAGAUCCAGAUCCAGCUCUGUUCGUAGUUCAUGCCUGCUAAGACAUGUUCAAUUCCUUCCGAUAUGCUUUUGAAUAUGUUUUCAGUGAUGCCAUAUAGCUAUAAAUACUAUAUUUGCAUAAGGCCAGUAGGAUAUAUGCUUUAAUGCCCUUAAUUAGUUCUGAAAUGUUUAGCAUGGUCUUUGUCAAUCUGCUUUAUCCCAUUCAAAAAAGCCACAUGGUUGACUCUUGUGCUAUGCCUAGGCUAUCUAGAAACUGUUGAUUUCUGUGUGUGUGGAUACUGUUCUCUUCGUAAACUAAUUUUACUACUUGGCUCUGUUCAUAUCUUCAUGAUAUUGUACCUUCUUUUCAUUGUUAGCUUGCUAAAGGAAUGUUAGAUUCUUGUUGCGUGUCCAUUCCAAGGCCUCCCUCGUUAUUCUUAAUGCACACUGUAUUUGUGCCUUCUACCAGCCCCCUCGGUCUAUCUUUCCAAAAACAUCCUCUUGCUGAAGUAAUGUUUCAGAAGCUCGGCCUCCCCAAACCAGUCUACCAUGUGCGGCUGCUUGAGCAGAGAGGAUAUAGAUCACAGGUUGAAUUACCGUACAAAAGAAUGUUUCCAAGCUUCAGCACGCCGGGUUAGACUGUCAAGCCCCAUAUGUGUGGAUGGGAGGACAUCAAUGAAUUCUGCAGCCGAACGAGCCAUUGAAUAUAUGCAAACCAGUGAGAGCAAGGUGUUUGUUGACUAUAACUACUACCAGCUGCAACAGCAGAAACAGGCACACGAAGGAGUAUCAGGAAGGCUGUUAGAAUAAAUAGAAGAAAUCAACCAGCGCAACCAAACUAUCAAACAGAUAACUAGAGAAGCAUCCAACUAUCUGGAAGAAGUGCAUGAUGCAUCAAACAAAAUUCAUGGUCUUGCUGCCAUUGCCUUGGACCAUGUUUCCUCAGUGUCUCUUUUUGAUUUCAGGCAGGCUAUUCUAGAGAUUCAUGAUGCAGUUGUUGCACUUCAAAACACUACAUCUACUGCACGUGUCUCACUAGAGGAAAAAGGCAUGUACUCAGAGACGAUCAUGUGGCAGAUCCAGUCUACAGUGGCGUUUCUGGUGAUGAAACUGAUGAAUACUAUCAUCAUGAUGACUAUGGUCACUAUGUGCGAUCCCCAUGAGCAUGUUGUCCAGCCUGCUGAGCUAUCUGGUCAACAUGUGAAGCUCUAUAUGCAUAGCUUCACCACGAAGGCUUGCUUCUUCUUAGCAAGAACCAGUCUGGUUACUAUGUUUAGUCUACUGGUUUAUCUAAAUAAAAUGUGAAGCUCUAUGCUUACAGCUUCACUUUAGGAACUGUCUCCUUUUCAGACUACUCUCUGGUCAUGUAUAAAUAUGGGAUCUAUUGUACUAUCUAAAACCAAUGUAAUUUAUAUAUGUUGCAUCUUCUGAAA